GCCCCCGUAGCUCAAGUGGACAGAGCGGCUGCCUUCUAAGCAGUAGGUUCCAGGUUCGAGUCCUGGCGGGGGCGCCA
This 77-nucleotide transfer RNA is filed under the name Dehalococcoidia bacterium. RNAcentral's name for it is "tRNA-Arg". It matches the Rfam family "tRNA". From Rfam's summary of the family: Transfer RNA (tRNA) molecules are approximately 80 nucleotides in length. Their secondary structure includes four short double-helical elements and three loops (D, anti-codon, and T loops). Lineage: Bacteria; Bacillati; Chloroflexota; Dehalococcoidia. RNAcentral also lists the same sequence under 1 other name. The record is from RNAcentral.